CCGGGAAUUUUGGGCAAUGGGCGCAAGCCUGAUCCAGCCAUGCCGCGUGAGUGAAGAAGGCCUUCGGGUUGUAAAGCUCUUUUACCAGGGACGAUAAUGACGGUACCUGGAGAAUAAGCCCCGGCAAACUUCGUGCCAGCAGCCGCGGUAAUACGAAGGGGGCUAGCGUUGUUCGGAAUUACUGGGCGUAAAGCGCACGUAGGCGGAUUGUUAAGUCAGAGGUGAAAUCCCGGAGCUCAACUUCGGAACUGCCUUUGAUACUGGCAAUCUAGAGUCCGGAAGAGGUUAGUGGAAUUCCCAGUGUAGAGGUGAAAUUCGUAGAUAUUGGGAAGAACACCAGUGGCGAAGGCGGCUAACUGGUCCGGUACUGACGCUGAGGUGCGAAAGCGUGGGGAGCAAACAGGAUUAGAUACCCCAGUAGUCCCUGAGCGGGCUGGCAAGGCGCAU
Molecule: ribosomal RNA, 447 nt
Filed under: uncultured bacterium
Lineage: Bacteria
Description: bacterial SSU rRNA
Rfam family: Bacterial small subunit ribosomal RNA
Source: RNAcentral